Molecule: ribosomal RNA, 254 nt
Filed under: uncultured bacterium
Lineage: Bacteria
Description: partial 16S ribosomal RNA
Rfam family: Bacterial small subunit ribosomal RNA
Source: RNAcentral
UACGGGGGGAGCAAGCGUUGUUCGGAUUUACUGGGCGUAAAGGGCGCGUAGGCGGCCAGCACAGGUCAGUUGUGAAAUCUCCGGGCUUAACUCGGAAAGGUCAACUGAUACUGUGCGGCUAGAGUGCAGAAGGGGCAACUGGAAUUCUCGGUGUAGCGGUGAAAUGCGUAGAUAUCGAGAGGAACACCUGCGGCGAAGGCGGGUUGCUGGGCUGACACCGACGCUGAUGCGCGAAAGCCAGGGGAGCGAACGGG